Molecule: ribosomal RNA, 165 nt
Filed under: uncultured bacterium
Lineage: Bacteria
Description: partial 16S rRNA
Rfam family: Bacterial small subunit ribosomal RNA
Source: RNAcentral
UAGGGAAUCUUCGGCAAUGGGGGCAACCCUGACCGAGCAACGCCGCGUGAGUGAAGAAGGUUUUCGGAUCGUAAAGCUCUGUUGUAAGAGUAGAACGUGUGUGAGAGUGGAAAGUUCACACAGUGACGGUAACUUACCAGAAAGGGACGGCUAACUACGUGCCAG